UACGUAGGGUGCGAGCGUUGUCCGGAAUUAUUGGGCGUAAAGAGCUUGUAGGCGGUCUGUCGCGUCUGCUGUGAAAAUCCGGGGCUCAACCCCGGACUUGCAGUGGGUACGGGCAGACUAGAGUGUGGUAGGGGAGACUGGAAUUCCUGGUGUAGCGGUGAAAUGCGCAGAUAUCAGGAGGAACACCGGUGGCGAAGGCGCCUAUCUGGCCCGAUACUGACGCUGAGGCGCGAAAGCUAGGGGAGCAAACGGG
This 253-nucleotide ribosomal RNA is filed under the name uncultured bacterium. RNAcentral describes it as "partial 16S ribosomal RNA". It matches the Rfam family "Bacterial small subunit ribosomal RNA", at positions 524 to 776 of the family's 1533-position model. The record is from RNAcentral.